Molecule: ribosomal RNA, 263 nt
Filed under: Hyla sanchiangensis (San Chiang treefrog)
Lineage: Eukaryota; Metazoa; Chordata; Amphibia; Anura; Hylidae
Description: partial 16S ribosomal RNA
Rfam family: Bacterial large subunit ribosomal RNA
Source: RNAcentral
GCGGGUUUACGACCUCGAUGUUGGAUCAGGGUAUCCCAGUGGUGCAGCCGCUACUAAAGGUUCGUUUGUUCAACGAUUAAAACCCUACGUGAUCUGAGUUCAGACCGGAGUAAUCCAGGUCAGUUUCUAUCUAUAAGGAGCUUUUUCUAGUACGAAAGGACCGAAAAAACAUGGCCCAUAUAUAAUACAAGCCAUAUUUAAUAAUUUAUGAUUAAAACUCAAUAAAUACUUAACCUACUACUCAACUCUAGACAAGAGUAGUU